This 301-nucleotide ribosomal RNA is filed under the name uncultured bacterium. RNAcentral describes it as "partial 16S ribosomal RNA". It matches the Rfam family "Bacterial small subunit ribosomal RNA", at positions 509 to 807 of the family's 1533-position model. The record is from RNAcentral.
CAGUCGCCGCGGGAAUACGUAGGUGGCAAGCGUUGUCCGGAAUUAUUGGGCGUAAAGGGCUCGCAGGCGGUUUCUUAAGUCUGAUGUGAAAGCCCCCGGCUCAACCGGGGAGGGUCAUUGGAAACUGGGAAACUUGAGUGCAGAAGAGGAGAGUGGAAUUCCACGUGUAGCGGUGAAAUGCGUAGGGAUGUGGAGGAACACCAGUGGCGAAGGCGACUCUCUGGUCUGUAACUGACGCUGAGGAGCGAAAGCGUGGGGAGCGAACAGGAUUAGAUACCCCCGUAGUCCCUGUCUCUUAUAC